RNAcentral lists this long non-coding RNA (227 nucleotides) under Cyanistes caeruleus (blue tit). RNAcentral's name for it is "lncRNA (ENSCCEG00000022839.1)". Lineage: Eukaryota; Metazoa; Chordata; Aves; Passeriformes; Paridae. The record is from RNAcentral.
ACUUACCAGAAUCUUUCAUGGAACAUCUAAGUUUUACAUCUGAAGAUGAGGCUGAAUUUUCCAAGUAUCUUCUCCUUGUCGAAUGUUGCAGGAAGGGACACAAAGUCAAAAUGUGUAAGAAACUGUCCUACCUAGCUGCCUUCUCUCAUCUUCGAGGCUACAUCAAGGCUCCCUGCUGCCAGGCUGUGGCGAGACAUCUCGGCUCAGACGUCCUGGAGGCAGAAUGA